UAGAUUUUAGCGUUGAAGAUGGAGGGCUA
This 29-nucleotide non-coding RNA is filed under the name Mus musculus (house mouse). The record is from RNAcentral. Lineage: Eukaryota; Metazoa; Chordata; Mammalia; Rodentia; Muridae.